AGAGUUUGAUCAUGGCUCAGAACGAACGUUAGCGGCGCGCCUAACACAUGCAAGUCGCGCGAGAAAGGGCUUCGGCCCCAGUAAAGCGGCGCACGGGUGAGUAACACGUAGGUCAUCUUCCCCUGAGUGGUGGAUAACUCUCCGAAAGGAGAGCUAAUACAGCAUAAGACCACGACCUCGCCGAGGUUGUGGCCAAAGCAGACCUCUUCAUGAAAGUUUGCGCUUGGGGAUGAGCCUGCGGCCCAUCAGCUAGUUGGUAGGGUAAUGGCCUACCAAGGCUAAGACGGGUAGCUGGUCUGAGAGGAUGAACAGCCACACUGGAACUGAGACACGGUCCAGACUCCUACGGGAGGCAGCAGUGGGGAAUCUUGCGCAAUGGGCGAAAGCCUGACGCAGCGACGCCGCGUGAGCGAUGAAGGCCUUCGGGUUGUAAAGCUCUGUGGGGAGGGAAGAAUAAGGCUUGGCUAAUAUCCAAGUUGAUGACGGUACCUCCUUAGCAAGCACCGGCUAACUCUGUGCCAGCAGCCGCGGUAAGACAGAGGGUGCAAACGUUGUUCGGAAUUACUGGGCGUAAAGCGCGUGUAGGCGGCUAAGUAAGUCGGGCGUGAAAUCCCACGGCUCAACCGUGGAAGUGCACUCGAAACUGCAUAGCUAGAGUCCUGGAGAGGAAGGUGGAAUGCUUGGUGUAGAGGUGAAAUUCGUAGAUAUCAAGCGGAACACCGGUGGCGAAGGCGGCCUUCUGGACAGUGACUGACGCUGAGACGCGAAAGCGUGGGGAGCAAACAGGAUUAGAUACCCUAGUAGUCC
This 807-nucleotide ribosomal RNA is filed under the name uncultured bacterium. RNAcentral's name for it is "bacterial SSU rRNA". It matches the Rfam family "Bacterial small subunit ribosomal RNA", at positions 8 to 796 of the family's 1533-position model. The record is from RNAcentral.